RNAcentral lists this ribosomal RNA (253 nucleotides) under uncultured bacterium. RNAcentral describes it as "partial 16S ribosomal RNA". It matches the Rfam family "Bacterial small subunit ribosomal RNA", at positions 524 to 776 of the family's 1533-position model. The record is from RNAcentral.
CACGAACCGUACGAACGUUAUUCGGAAUUACUGGGCUUAAAGCGUCCGUAGGCGGCUCUGAAGGUGAGGUGUGAAAUCCCACGGCUUAACCGUGGAAUUGCGCUUCAAACCACAGGGCUUGAGUAAGUCAGAGGUGAGCGGAACUCACAGUGGAGCGGUGAAAUGCGUUGAUAUUGUGAGGAACACCGGUGGCGAAAGCGGCUCACUGGGGCUUUUCUGACGCUGAGGGACGAAAUCUAGGGGAGCGAACGGG